AUAGGAGGUCCAGCCUGCCCAGUGACUACGGGUUCAACGGCCGCGGUAUUUUGACCGUGCAAAGGUAGCGCAAUCACUUGUCUCUUAAAUAGAGACCUGUAUGAAUGGCUAGACGAGGGCUUAACUGUCUCCCCCCUCCAGUCAGUGAAAUUGAUCUAUCCGUGCAGAAGCGGGUAUAAUUAUACAAGACGAGAAGACCCUUUGGAGCUUAAGGUACAAAAUUUAACCACGUUAAACGACUCCAUAGAAAGCAAGAACUUAAUGGUGAAUAAAAUUUUACCUUCGGUUGGGGCGACCACGGAGGAAAAAGAAGCCUCCGAGUGGACUGGGCUAAACCCUAAAGCCAAGAGAUACACCUAUAAGCCGCAGAACAUCUGACCAAUAAUGAUCCGACUGAAAAGCCGAUCAACGAACCAAGUUACCCUAGGGAUAACAGCGCAAUCCUCUCCCAGAGUCCAUAUCGACGAGGGGGUUUACGACCUCGAUGUUGGAUCAGGACAUCCUAAUGGUGCAGCCGCUAUUAAGGGUUCGUUUGUUCAACGAUUAAAGUCC
This 552-nucleotide ribosomal RNA is filed under the name Abramis brama (common bream). RNAcentral's name for it is "partial 16S ribosomal RNA". It matches the Rfam family "Bacterial large subunit ribosomal RNA", at positions 1845 to 2596 of the family's 2925-position model. The record is from RNAcentral. Lineage: Eukaryota; Metazoa; Chordata; Actinopteri; Cypriniformes; Leuciscidae.